Molecule: ribosomal RNA, 484 nt
Filed under: uncultured bacterium
Lineage: Bacteria
Description: partial 16S ribosomal RNA
Rfam family: Bacterial small subunit ribosomal RNA
Source: RNAcentral
AUUGAACGCUGGCGGCAGGCCUAACACAUGCAAGUCGAGCGGAUGAAGGGAGCUUGCUCCUGGAUUCAGCGGCGGACGGGUGAGUAAUGCCUAGGAAUCUGCCUGGUAGUGGGGGAUAACGUCCGGAAACGGGCGCUAAUCCCGCAUACGUCCUGAGGGAGCAAGUGGGGGAUCUUCGGACCUCACGCUAUCUGAUGAGCCUAGGUCGGAUUAGCUAGUUGGUGGGGUAACGGCCUACCAAGGCGACGAGCCGUAACUGGUCUGAGAGGAUGGUCCGACAGACGGGAAGUGAGAAAGAGCCCAGACUCCGACGGUAAGAAGCAGUGGAGAAUAUUGGGCGAUGGGCGAGAGCCUGAUCCAGCAAUGCCGCGUGUGUGAUGAACGUGCUCUGAUGGGAAAGCAAUGUAAGUUGUGGGGUAGGGCAGUAAGUUUAUACGUGACUGUAUUGACGGUACCAGCAGAAUAAGCACCGGCUAACUUCGUG